GGGUAUGUAGCUCAGUUGGUAGAGUGCUCGCCUAGCUUGCACAAGGCCCUGGGUUCAAUCCCCAGCACCACCA
Non-coding RNA from Ictidomys tridecemlineatus (thirteen-lined ground squirrel), 73 nucleotides. The record is from Rfam. Lineage: Eukaryota; Metazoa; Chordata; Mammalia; Rodentia; Sciuridae.